UACGUAGGGGGCGAGCGUUGUCCGGAUUUAUUGGGCGUAAAGAGCCCGUAGGCGGUUCGAUAAGUCGGACGUGAAAUCUCCACGCUCAACGUGGAGGGGCCGUUCGAUACUGUCGUGACUCGAGUCCGGUAGGGGAGUGUGGAAUUCCCGGUGUAGCGGUGAAAUGCGCAGAGAUCGGGAGGAACACCCGUAGCGAAGGCGGCACUCUGGGCCGGUACUGACGCUGAGGAGCGAAAGCGUGGGGAGCAAACAGG
This 254-nucleotide ribosomal RNA is filed under the name uncultured bacterium. RNAcentral describes it as "partial 16S ribosomal RNA". It matches the Rfam family "Bacterial small subunit ribosomal RNA", at positions 524 to 776 of the family's 1533-position model. The record is from RNAcentral.